CCGCGCUCACACGACUGACCCCCCGCGGACCCGCACGGUUUGGUUACACUGUUAAUGAUCACAGAAAUGGGCCUAUAUAGUCAACUUUAGGCCUAGUCUACUACUACCAAUCUGUGGUAUUAUAAGCAUUUCAACUGCCAGAGAAAUGGAUGGAAAUGACCGAUGGACAAAUAUCAACCUGCUAUUGAUAACUAGGCGAUGUGAGGGUGUUUUGCGAAUAUCAGACAACGACUGUUUCUAAACUUCAUGUGCAGCAGAACGCUCUCCUCUCUCUCCUUGCGCCCUCUGACCUGUAGGUGUUCUCUUUUCUCAUAUGGCAGAGAGGGAGAGAGACAGCGAGUGAGCGAGAGAGUUAGAACCCUCAAUGUCUCAAAUCCUAAUCCUGCGAUAAGAAACAGCAGCCUUAGUUGACCGUUACAGAAGCCCGCACCUUCAGCAUGGAGUCAGCAGGAGCAGCCGCCACCCCUCUUCCAUCGAUGGAGGAACGUGUCCUCCAUCACACCACUGUCCUCCAUCGGAUUCGGUCAGCGAUGGACCAGAUGAUGUAGAGAAU
RNAcentral lists this long non-coding RNA (553 nucleotides) under Salmo salar (Atlantic salmon). Its description in RNAcentral is "lncRNA (ENSSSAG00000108532.1)". Lineage: Eukaryota; Metazoa; Chordata; Actinopteri; Salmoniformes; Salmonidae. The record is from RNAcentral.